This 1267-nucleotide long non-coding RNA is filed under the name Setaria viridis. Its description in RNAcentral is "long non-coding RNA (SVIR_LNC006310)". The record is from RNAcentral. Lineage: Eukaryota; Viridiplantae; Streptophyta; Magnoliopsida; Poales; Poaceae.
CCAACCUCGUCGCUAGCCGGCACCCUAUUCUCCUUUGCUUCCACCGAACAUCUCUUGUAUGGUUUGAAGCCUGUUUUGCGUGAUUUAAGCUUCAGGUGUGACAGUUCAUUGGGGAAGGAAGUUCUUGGCUCAUCCAUCAUGUCAAGAUCAUGAUCAAUUGUUGUGGCGUUCUUGUUGAGGUCAACCGUCACUGUGGUCACUUCAUCUUCCUCCUCCUUGGCAACCUCCUUUGAUUCUUCUGCCUGUGGGGGAGAAAAGCUUUGUGGAAGCUUUUCUCUACUGAACAGCGCAUCGAAAGCCAUACGACCCUGUCAACAAAAAUGUGAAUUAGAAAAAUGAUGGAUGCUCAAAUAUUUAGAUAGAAGUGAUUUUGCAUAUUGUUGGUAGGCUACAACCUCUUCAGAAACUUCCUUCCAUGAAUCACUUGUGCUUCCACUGCUUCUAAAUUUGCGGUGGUUAGUGUCACCGGCUGAAGAGUUACUGCAGGAGGCUUGCUUUGCCUUGUCAUUGGCCUUAUCUUCUUUCUCAGGAACAUUUCCUGCCUCUACAUCGCUACUUGAAGGUGUGUUGGAGCCACAUGAAGAGCGAUCCUGCUUUUUCUUAUUCCUGAAUGCAUCACUAAUGUCAGCUCCUGUAGUAGGUGCAGCAUCAGUAUUCUGGACAGGAGAUAUCUUUAACUCAGUAUGGAGAGACAUGUCGCCUUUUCUAGUCCCAUCAGACUCUGAAGACACAGCAACUCUCAAAGCUUCAGACUGGCCUUGUUUCUGAGCCUCUUGGCAUCCCUUCUGUGCAUUUUCAACUGGGGAAUCUCUGUCUUUGUCUAAAGGUCGUGGAACAUCUGCUGUGGGAAAGGCAGCACUAGGAGCUGGUACAAAUGGAAAAGCCAUGGGGGGAGUGAAAAAAGGGAGAAGACCUUGUGUUGCCCACCAUGCAGAUGCUGCAGCAACUGUAGCUGCUACAAUAGAAGCCAUGCUUGGAGGAGAGCCUAAGUUCCUUCCUUGAACACCCUCUGCAGGAUUUUCUUGAGUUGGAUCAACAGGAGUGUUACCUUCUGCUGCUGGCCAGUACGAUGCUGCGAGCCUAGCGGCUGCAUGGAUGGCAGGGUUUGACAACAAUGUGGAAACAAGCAUGCUGGAGAAAGUGGAUGACAUGUUGACGAAUGUUCUGUAGGUAUCUUGGUUGCAGUUGCACUGCAUCAUCGGAGCAAAGGCAGCAUAGUUAUGAGGAAAAGGUUGUGGUGUGGCACUGCUAUCAAAUUUUGGAUCCG